Molecule: ribosomal RNA, 484 nt
Filed under: uncultured bacterium
Lineage: Bacteria
Description: partial 16S ribosomal RNA
Rfam family: Bacterial small subunit ribosomal RNA
Source: RNAcentral
AUUGAACGCUGGCGGAAUGCUUUACACAUGCAAGUCGAGCGGCAGCACGGGGGCAACCCUGGUGGCGAGCGGCGAACGGGUGAGUAAUACAUCGGAACAUGCCCAGUCGUGGGGGAUAACACUUCGAAAGAAGUGCUAAUACCGCAUACGUCCUGAGGGGGAAAGCGGGGGAUCGCAAGACCUCGCGCGAUUUGAGUGGCCGAUGUCCGAAUAGCUAGUUGGUGGGGUAAAGGCCUACCAAGGCAACGAUCUGUAGCUGGUCUGGAAGGCUGAUCAGCCAACAUGGGAAUGAGAAACGGCCCAGAAUCCCACGGGGGGCAGCAGUGGGGAAAUUUGGACAAAGGGGGGAACCCUGAUCCAGCCAUUCCGCGUGAGUGAAGAAGGCCUUCGGGUUGUAAAGCUCUUUCGGCAGGAACGAAACGGUGAGCUCUAACAUAGCUUGCUAAUGACGGUACCUGAAGAAGAAGCACCGGCUAACUACGUG